GGGGGUGUAGCUCAGUUGGGAGAGCACUAGCUUCGCAAGUUAGAAGUCGGCGGUUCGAUCCCGCUCACCUCCACCA
Molecule: transfer RNA, 76 nt
Filed under: Bacillota bacterium
Lineage: Bacteria; Bacillati; Bacillota
Description: Firmicutes bacterium (anaerobic digester metagenome) tRNA-Ala
Rfam family: tRNA
About the family: Transfer RNA (tRNA) molecules are approximately 80 nucleotides in length. Their secondary structure includes four short double-helical elements and three loops (D, anti-codon, and T loops).
Source: RNAcentral